GAUGAACGCUGGCGGCGUGCCUAAUACAUGCAAGUCGAGCGAACGGACGAGAAGCUUGCUUCUCUGAUGUUAGCGGCGGACGGGCGAGUAACACGUGGAUAACCUACCUAUAAGACUGGGAUAACUUCGGGAAACCGGAGCUAAUACCGGAUAAUAUUUUGAACCGCAUGGUUCAAAAGUGAAAGACGGUCUUGCUGUCACUUAUAGAUGGAUCCGCGCUGCAUUAGCUAGUUGGUAAGGUAACGGCUUACCAAGGCAACGAUGCAUAGCCGACCUGAGAGGGUGAUCGGCCACACUGGAACUGAGACACGGUCCAGACUCCUACGGGAGGCAGCAGUAGGGAAUCUUCCGCAAUGGGCGAAAGCCUGACGGAGCAACGCCGCGUGAGUGAUGAAGGUCUUCGGAUCGUAAAACUCUGUUAUUAGGGAAGAACAUAUGUGUAAGUAACUGUGCACAUCUUGACGGUACCUAAUCAGAAAGCCACGGCUAACUACGUGCCAGCAGCCGCGGUAAUACGUAGGUGGCAAGCGUUAUCCGGAAUUAUUGGGCGUAAAGCGCGCGUAGGCGGUUUUUUAAGUCUGAUGUGAAAGCCCACGGCUCAACCGUGGAGGGUCAUUGGAAACUGGAAAACUUGAGUGCAGAAGAGGAAAGUGGAAUUCCAUGUGUAGCGGUGAAAUGCGCAGAGAUAUGGAGGAACACCAGUGGCGAAGGCGACUUUCUGGUCUGUAACUGACGCUGAUGUGCGAAAGCGUGGGGAUCAAACAGGAUUAGAUACCCUGGUAGUCCACGCCGUAAACGAUGAGUGCUAAGUGUUAGGGGGUUUCCGCCCCUUAGUGCUGCAGCUAACGCAUUAAGCACUCCGCCUGGGGAGUACGACCGCAAGGUUGAAACUCAAAGGAAUUGACGGGGACCCGCACAAGCGGUGGAGCAUGUGGUUUAAUUCGAAGCAACGCGAAGAACCUUACCAAAUCUUGACAUCCUUUGACAACUCUAGAGAUAGAGCCUUCCCCUUCGGGGGACAAAGUGACAGGUGGUGCAUGGUUGUCGUCAGCUCGUGUCGUGAGAUGUUGGGUUAAGUCCCGCAACGAGCGCAACCCUUAAGCUUAGUUGCCAUCAUUAAGUUGGGCACUCUAAGUUGACUGCCGGUGACAAACCGGAGGAAGGUGGGGAUGACGUCAAAUCAUCAUGCCCCUUAUGAUUUGGGCUACACACGUGCUACAAUGGACAAUACAAAGGGCAGCGAAACCGCGAGGUCAAGCAAAUCCCAUAAAGUUGUUCUCAGUUCGGAUUGUAGUCUGCAACUCGACUACAUGAAGCUGGAAUCGCUAGUAAUCGUAGAUCAGCAUGCUACGGUGAAUACGUUCCCGGGGCU
This 1372-nucleotide ribosomal RNA is filed under the name uncultured bacterium. RNAcentral's name for it is "bacterial SSU rRNA". It matches the Rfam family "Bacterial small subunit ribosomal RNA", at positions 28 to 1381 of the family's 1533-position model. The record is from RNAcentral.